AGGCCCCACAAAGGACUGUCAUAUGAACCUGAGGGGGUCACAGAAAACAAACAAAGGACUCUAAUGUUUAGCCAAAGGAUACCACAAGAGGUGCAAGACUCAAUGAACAGGGCCAGAGACCAGCUGUGCAUGGCCAGCCUCUGCUUUAGGCCCAAGAAGGAAAGAAAUUCACAGGAGAUAGUGAAUCUCAGACUCUUCCUCAGUUACCAGCAGGAGGAUUCUAGAGGGCUACCCCGCAGCAUACCGAAGUUCCCAGGCUAGGGGUCAAAUCGGAGCUGAAGCCAGCCUACACCACAGCCAUAACAACAUGGGAUCCAAGCCGAGUCUGAAGCAUACUCCACAGCUCAUGGCAACACUGGAACCUUAACCCACUGAGUGAAGCCAGGGAUUGAACUUGCAUCCUCAUGGAUGUCAGUCGGAUUCAUUUCUGCUGAGCCACGACAAGAACUCCAUACUGUGACUCCUUGACUUCUUGGGUCACAGGCCAUAUUGGAGUAGGACAUCCACAUGUCCUGACCUCAUUUACCUUGAAUUACCUGCUUAAAAGCCACAUCUCCAAAUAUAGUCACUCUGGGGGUUAAGGCUUCAGCACAUGCAUUUUGAAGGGGUUCCUGGGAGCUUUUCUGGUGCUGGCAUUGACUGGUUCCACCAGUCAGUGAGGAAGGGAUCCUACCUACCUCAGCACCCGGACCAACUUCAUUGAAGAGACAGAUCAAGUGGCGAUGGAGUCUGGCUUCCUCAUGCACAGACAACAGCAGGAAAGUUGGGCUCACCCACCUGAAAAGCUAAAGCUGACCCAGAAGUUAUGCUUAAAGAAGAAAAAGAAGGAAGAGCUGCUUUUGAUGUAACUUGAAGAGUAUAAAGGAUCGAAUGAUAAAAGCCACUGCCCUGAACUUUUCCAAAGUGUAAUAAAUCUCUCUGCAUAAGAUUCUGCAGUUGUUGCCGAGAUCCCGAAUUGGGAGCCAUGUGGAAAGAGGACUGGAUUGGAAAUCAGAGUCCUUCCUGGGUUUCUUCCAGAUGACCCCACCCAUCAGCCGUCUGGUCUCUGGUGAGUGCCUGUGACUUACAAAAAAAUUCUUUUUUUCUUCUUAUGGUCUCACCUACAGCAUAUGGAUGUUCCCAGGCUAGGGGUCAAAUCAGAGCUGCAAUUGCCAGCUUACACCACAGUCACAGCAACACGAGAUCUGAGCCUCAUCUUCAACGUGCGAGCUCUCAGCAACACCAGAUGCUUAACCCACUGAGCAAGGCCAGGGUUCGAAGCUGGAUUCUCAUGGAUACUAGUUGGAUUCUUAAUUCGAUGAGCCACAAUGGGAACUCCACAAAAAAAUUUUUUUUUCAAUUAACAGGAAAAAAUAGGGAGAAUACAAUAACAGAACUGUGUGUGCCACUAUUGAGUUCUAGGCAGUCCUGACAUUUGGACGAGUUUGCUUCAGAUCUAAUUUAGUUCUUUGUGGAUUCCUCCUUAAUCCUAGUUCCCUUCUUCCUGCUCCAGAGAUUAACACUGUCCUGAAUUUGCAUGCUUUCACACUUCUAUAUACAUGCAUAUCUUUCCACAAUAGAUACUCUUGCUUUGCAUGUUUUAAAACUUGAAAUAACUUUAUUUUUUGACAUUUCAAAUCCCUUUUAUUAUACCAUUUCAUACUCUUUAAUUUUUGCCUUUGAAAUAGGAUUUAAAGACGUACUGUGGUCUGCAUUUAAAUGACUCCUCUGUAAGUGUAGGGUUAGGUCCCUGUAAGAUCCAGUGUAAUGAUGGCUUCUGAAUAAAACUUUAUAUAACUUUAAAUAUGAUGGGCAUCAUUCUGCAAUUUGCUCUUUUUGCAUUUAGCAUUAGAUUUCAGCAACAAAGCUCUAGUCCAUUCAUUUUAACUGCUGUGUAUUGUAAUGGUUUGUGAACAGAUGUCUGUCUAUGUAUUUGUCAAUCUAUCUAGUUAGCUCCAUUCUCCUGUCGAUGAAUAAUUAGAUUGUUUCUAAUUUUGUGCUAUGAUAAACAAUGUUUCAAUGAGUAUUCUUGUUCAUUUCAUGUACUAAUACAAAAGCUUCUCAAAAAUCACAUUUUUUUCACAAUGUUGUCUGUCCUCACAGUUAAAGCUCCACUUUGCAUGGAAACCCAGCACACACACGGGCUACAUUUCUGUGUGUCUGUAUAUGUAUACACACACAUGUGGAAUAAAAUUUCUCAGAAUAAUACUCUUGUCUAUUCAGCUAUAAUCCAGUUUGGUCUGUUCUAUUUCACCCAUGCAAAAAUGCCCUGUUUGUAAUUUACGAAAAUGAUUCCAUGGUGCGUCUCCACUGUUGUUGGGCACUUACCUAGACACUGAAUUGCCAGGUCAUGGGUUAUACUCGUUUUCAAAUUGAGGACUUUAUGUCCCUGUGUGUCCAUUUGAUGCAUUUAAAUGGACAUUUGCAUUUAGCCAGCAUUCUUGGGGUUUUAGGAGACUGUUUUUCAGGCUAUUUGGUGCAUUAUAUGGCUGGAAAUGGAAGCCUCACUUUAGCUUUCCAGGCUUCAAUUUUUUUCAUCUGUCACAAGAAGCCAAAACAAAACAAAAGCCCUGGACAUUUUAGUGUCUUACAGUCAGCAUUCUUUUCAGCCCAGAGUCCUGCGGAGGGUUCAGGGUCUUCAGUAUCAUAUGUAAGAUUCAGGCGGAGAGGGUUGUUAGGGCAGUGAAGAGAAUGAAUAGGUAGAAUUCUGGGCCUUUCACCACAGUCCCAGCCAAGGAGCCCAUUUUAAUAUUUAUCCACUGUAUUUCCAUUGUGAGCAGCUUGAAACUAAAGUUAAACUAUAGGUUUAGAUAUUCUGUGAGGCUCUUUCCAGAUCUAAUCUUGAAUGAAAAUAACUUUUGAGUCUCUGGACCAUUUAGAAUUGCAGCCAGGAGUUCCUGUUGUGGCACAGUGGAAACAAAUCCUACUAGUACCCAUGGGGUUGCAGGUUCAGUCCCUGGCCUCACUCAGUGGGUUAAGGAUCUGGCGUUGCCCAUGAGCUGUGGUGUAGGUUGAAGAUGUGGCUCAGAUCCCAAGUUACUAUGGCUGUGGUGUAGGCCCCCAGCUGUAGCUCUGAUUCAGCCUCUAGCCUGGGAACUUCCAUAUGUCAUAGGUGUGGCCCUAAAAAGAAAAAAAGAAAAAAAA
This 3123-nucleotide long non-coding RNA is filed under the name Sus scrofa (pig). Its description in RNAcentral is "lncRNA (ENSSSCG00035047876.1)". The record is from RNAcentral. Lineage: Eukaryota; Metazoa; Chordata; Mammalia; Artiodactyla; Suidae.